AUGCACGCUGGCGGCGUGCCUAAUACCUGCAAGUCGAGCGAACGGACGAGAAGCUUGCUUCUCUGAUGUUAGCGGCGGACGGGUGAGUAACACGUGGAUAACCUACCUAUAAGACUGGGAUAACUUCGGGAAACCGGAGCUAAUACCGGAUAAUAUUUUGAACCGCACGGUUCAAAAGUGAAAGACGGUCUUGCUGUCACUUAUAGAUGGAUCCGCGCUGCAUUAGCUAGUUGGUAAGGUAACGGCUUACCAAGGCAACGAUGCAUAGCCGACCUGAGAGGGUGAUCGGCCACACUGGAACUGAGACACGGUCCAGACUCCUACGGGAGGCAGCAGUAGGGAAUCUUCCGCAAUGGGCGAAAGCCUGACGGAGCAACGCCGCGUGAGUGAUGAAGGUCUUCGGAUCGUAAAACUCUGUUAUUAGGGAAGAACAUAUGUGUAAGUAACUGUGCACAUCUUGACGGUACCUAAUCAGAAAGCCACGGCUAACUACGUG
RNAcentral lists this ribosomal RNA (496 nucleotides) under uncultured bacterium. RNAcentral's name for it is "partial 16S ribosomal RNA". It matches the Rfam family "Bacterial small subunit ribosomal RNA", at positions 29 to 507 of the family's 1533-position model. The record is from RNAcentral.